This 1735-nucleotide ribosomal RNA is filed under the name Salmonella enterica subsp. enterica serovar Muenchen. RNAcentral describes it as "bacterial LSU rRNA". It matches the Rfam family "Bacterial large subunit ribosomal RNA", at positions 1225 to 2925 of the family's 2925-position model. Lineage: Bacteria; Pseudomonadati; Pseudomonadota; Gammaproteobacteria; Enterobacterales; Enterobacteriaceae. The record is from RNAcentral.
UGGGUAGGGGAGCGUUCUGUAAGCCUGUGAAGGUGGCCUGUGAGGGUUGCUGGAGGUAUCAGAAGUGCGAAUGCUGACAUAAGUAACGAUAAAGCGGGUGAAAAGCCCGCUCGCCGGAAGACCAAGGGUUCCUGUCCAACGUUAAUCGGGGCAGGGUGAGUCGACCCCUAAGGCGAGGCCGAAAGGCGUAGUCGAUGGGAAACGGGUUAAUAUUCCCGUACUUGGUGUUACUGCGAAGGGGGGACGGAGAAGGCUAUGUUGGCCGGGCGACGGUUGUCCCGGUUUAAGCGUGUAGGUGUGUGUUCCAGGUAAAUCCGGUUCACUUUAACACUGAGGCGUGAUGACGAGGCACUACGGUGCUGAAGCAACAAAUGCCCUGCUUCCAGGAAAAGCCUCUAAGCAUCAGGUAACAUCAAAUCGUACCCCAAACCGACACAGGUGGUCAGGUAGAGAAUACCAAGGCGCUUGAGAGAACUCGGGUGAAGGAACUAGGCAAAAUGGUGCCGUAACUUCGGGAGAAGGCACGCUGACACGUAGGUGAAGUGAUUUACUCAUGGAGCUGAAGUCAGUCGAAGAUACCAGCUGGCUGCAACUGUUUAUUAAAAACACAGCACUGUGCAAACACGAAAGUGGACGUAUACGGUGUGACGCCUGCCCGGUGCCGGAAGGUUAAUUGAUGGGGUCAGCGCAAGCGAAGCUCCUGAUCGAAGCCCCGGUAAACGGCGGCCGUAACUAUAACGGUCCUAAGGUAGCGAAAUUCCUUGUCGGGUAAGUUCCGACCUGCACGAAUGGCGUAAUGAUGGCCAGGCUGUCUCCACCCGAGACUCAGUGAAAUUGAACUCGCUGUGAAGAUGCAGUGUACCCGCGGCAAGACGGAAAGACCCCGUGAACCUUUACUAUAGCUUGACACUGAACAUUGAGCCUUGAUGUGUAGGAUAGGUGGGAGGCUUUGAAGUGUGGACGCCAGUCUGCAUGGAGCCGACCUUGAAAUACCACCCUUUAAUGUUUGAUGUUCUAACGUGGACCCGUAAUCCGGGUUGCGGACAGUGUCUGGUGGGUAGUUUGACUGGGGCGGUCUCCUCCUAAAGAGUAACGGAGGAGCACGAAGGUUGGCUAAUCCUGGUCGGACAUCAGGAGGUUAGUGCAAUGGCAUAAGCCAGCUUGACUGCGAGCGUGACGGCGCGAGCAGGUGCGAAAGCAGGUCAUAGUGAUCCGGUGGUUCUGAAUGGAAGGGCCAUCGCUCAACGGAUAAAAGGUACUCCGGGGAUAACAGGCUGAUACCGCCCAAGAGUUCAUAUCGACGGCGGUGUUUGGCACCUCGAUGUCGGCUCAUCACAUCCUGGGGCUGAAGUAGGUCCCAAGGGUAUGGCUGUUCGCCAUUUAAAGUGGUACGCGAGCUGGGUUUAGAACGUCGUGAGACAGUUCGGUCCCUAUCUGCCGUGGGCGCUGGAGAACUGAGGGGGGCUGCUCCUAGUACGAGAGGACCGGAGUGGACGCAUCACUGGUGUUCGGGUUGUCAUGCCAAUGGCACUGCCCGGUAGCUAAAUGCGGAAGAGAUAAGUGCUGAAAGCAUCUAAGCACGAAACUUGCCCCGAGAUGAGUUCUCCCUGAGACUUUAGGUCUCCUGAAGGAACGUUGAAGACGACGACGUUGAUAGGCCGGGUGUGUAAGCGCAGCGAUGCGUUGAGCUAACCGGUACUAAUGAACCGUGAGGCUUAACCUUACAACGCCGAAG